RNAcentral lists this ribosomal RNA (550 nucleotides) under bacterium ET4-6. RNAcentral describes it as "bacterial SSU rRNA". It matches the Rfam family "Bacterial small subunit ribosomal RNA", at positions 356 to 896 of the family's 1533-position model. The record is from RNAcentral.
AGGGAAUCUUCCGCAAUGGACGAAAGUCUGACGGAGCAACGCCGCGUGAGUGAUGAAGGCUUUCGGGUCGUAAAACUCUGUUGUUAGGGAAGAACAAGUGCUAGUUGAAUAAGCUGGCACCUUGACGGUACCUAACCAGAAAGCCACGGCUAACUACGUGCCAGCAGCCGCGGUAAUACGUAGGUGGCAAGCGUUAUCCGGAAUUAUUGGGCGUAAAGCGCGCGCAGGUGGUUUCUUAAGUCUGAUGUGAAAGCCCACGGCUCAACCGUGGAGGGUCAUUGGAAACUGGGAGACUUGAGUGCAGAAGAGGAAAGUGGAAUUCCAUGUGUAGCGGUGAAAUGCGUAGAGAUAUGGAGGAACACCAGUGGCGAAGGCGACUUUCUGGUCUGUAACUGACACUGAGGCGCGAAAGCGUGGGGAGCAAACAGGAUUAGAUACCCUGGUAGUCCACGCCGUAAACGAUGAGUGCUAAGUGUUAGAGGGUUUCCGCCCUUUAGUGCUGAAGUUAACGCAUUAAGCACUCCGCCUGGGGAGUACGGCCGCAAGGCUG